RNAcentral lists this ribosomal RNA (460 nucleotides) under uncultured bacterium. Its description in RNAcentral is "bacterial SSU rRNA". It matches the Rfam family "Bacterial small subunit ribosomal RNA", at positions 43 to 524 of the family's 1533-position model. The record is from RNAcentral.
CAGGCCUAACACAUGCAAGUCGAACGAUGCUUUCGGGCAUAGUGGCGCACGGGUGCGUAACGCGUGGGAAUCUGCCCUUGGGUUCGGGAUAACCGUUGGAAACGACGGCUAAUACCGGAUGAUGACGUUAAGUCCAAAGAUUUAUCGCCCAGGGAUGAGCCCGCGUAGGAUUAGCUAGUUGGUGGGGUAAAGGCCUACCAAGGCGACGAUCCUUAGCUGGUCUGAGAGGAUGAUCAGCCACACUGGGACUGAGACACGGCCCAGACUCCUACGGGAGGCAGCAGUGGGGAAUAUUGGACAAUGGGCGAAAGCCUGAUCCAGCAAUGCCGCGUGAGUGAUGAAGGCCUUAGGGUUGUAAAGCCCUUUCGGCCGGGAAGAAAUAGCUCUGGCUAACAUCCAGAGUGUUGACGGUACCGGAGGAAGAAGCACCGGCUAACUCUGUGCCAGCAGCCGCGGUAAU